UCGGAUUUUUAGCAAAAAACCAGGAAAAAACCCCUCUGGUUGUGGUCCCCUUCAUGCUUGAGUUUCGGCAGCCAUAAAUGACCAGGUCCUUCCCCCAAACUUCAUCCUCCUCGAGACCCCAAACCCGUCGACCAACACCUGCUCCUCUACCUCAACCAGAGCAACAGUCCAGACAUGCACAAAAUCCGGCAAACUAGUGUUUUACAGUGAGUUUUUGAAUCAUUCGAGGAUGGUUCCAGUUGAGUUUGGCGAGGUGCAACGUUUGGAUUUGUCGAGGUCUUGUUCGCCGGUCUUUUUCUGAGUUCGAAUCGGCAAAAAACAGGGAAAGAAAAUGUUGCCAUAUUAAGGUCCAUUUUCUUUCAUUUUUGGCUCAUGCUUUUAGGUAGUCUGAAGUGUUGUUAGUGUUAAUUUUCAUCAGAAAUGUAUGUGUGUUUGAACUUCACGUGCUCAAAUGAUAACAAGAAGAGGUUAACCUUCCUAAAGCUAUUUUGAGUCUAGAACAAACAGUGAUUAAACCUUGACAUGUUCUUUGGCUUAUGUGCUUAUGUUAAUUGUAAAACAUUCUGAUUGUUUAGACUCAUGCUGUUCAUUACAAAUAUAUUAAAUCUUAAGUUGGGUCUUACUUGAAUUAAAAGGUCAAGAGAAUGUUUCUAUUUUUUGGAAUUCGUUAGGAUUUGAGUUUUUUUUAAAAAUACAAAAAUAUUAUGCUUUCUUCAUCUUUAAUUUCGAAUUUCUAGUUUCAAAAGUGAAAUUUGCUUGAGGCUUUGUUGGGGUUCGUGGGUUCGUUCAAUUAACUGAAAGCCUAAACAUUAGUGUUUUGAUUUUAAAUAAUUUGUUUGGCUUCUCUUUUCCUUUACUGAAUUUCUCCGGUUUUUGACACAACCAUACUUGAAUUAUAGGUUUCAUUUAACAAUGUUAAUUUCAUUCUUGACUUUCAUGUGCUCUACGUUGAAAAACCCAUGGCCCUCAUGUAAUUAACACUAACUCUUUUAAAAUCGGGUUGUGCCAUUAGUUGAAUUUUUCUAUGGCCCUCGCAAACUUGAAAGUGCGUAGUUGCUUUAGGUAUACUAUUUAAAUCAAUUUCCUUAAACUCGGGUGUGCAUUUCAUGUGAUCCAACUCCAAUUCUCAACAACGUUAAAUAAAAUGUGUCGUGGAUCGCGGGUGCAUUUCAUGUGACGUGGUUCAAGGCGUGUUCUAAAUAAAGUUGAAUCUUCCUAAAAAAUAAUUAAAAGCGGUUUAAUAAGUUAAAAUGUACCGUAGGCUAAAACAUGUACUAAAAUCAAGUAAAUAGGCCAAUUAUAAUAGUUGAGCGACCGUGCUAGAACCAUGGAACUCGGGAAUGCCUAACACCUUCUCCCGGUUUAACAGAAUUCCUUACCCAGAUUUCUGUGUUCGCGGACUAUAAAAUAGAGUCAAUCUUUCCUCGAUUCGAGAUUUGAACCGGUGACUUGGGACACCCUAAAUUAUCCCAAGUGGUGACUCUGAAUCUUUAAACAAAUAAUCCCGUUUCAAUUGUCACUUUAAGUUGGAAAAAACUCCUUUAUACCCUUACGGGGGUAGUAAAAAUGAGGUGUGAUAGCUCUGUCGACUUUGCUGGGUAAAAGAACCCAGAACUUCUGGUUCAGGGUUCAAAAAUUCGAGCUUAGGAUAAUUGUUAUAUUAUGCUUUAUUUAUUAUCUGGUUUUAUUACAUGUUUGGGCCAAAUGUGCUAAAUGUUGUUUAUUUUUUACCGCUUUGAUAUUAUCUGAAUUGUAUAUAAACUAUUACGAAACCCUUCUCUUCUCACCUCUAGCGAUGUGCACGUUGGCGUGACUCCUCUUUUGUUAGUGUCAUACCUUAAAUUAGGAAGAGGCUCGGACAAGUUACAAAGCCGGAUGGCCUUUUGGUUCCCGGUAUGUAGCCCCCCUCAGCUCGAGUUGUCCGAUCGGGUACACAAGUCUAGAACAACAUACUCAGGUUUUGAACUUAUACUAAUUCAGCGUCAUGCCGGAUCUCUAGUAGGAACGUUUGUUUGCAUCACGUGCAUCUAAAUUUUGGGACUCAACACAGGGGUUGGGUCCGUCUAGGACAGGUGUGCCCAAAAAAUAAAAGAUCAUCCUGAUGCAUCUUAUGUGCUACAUAUUGCAAUUUUCAAGGGUAAAAUGGUCAUUUGGAGGACCAAUGAUAGCUGAGGGCAAAUGAAAAAGAAAAAAAAGGAAAAAAUGAGGGUGAAGUGUGAAAAUAAAGCAAGUAGGACCUAAUUAAUCCAAUUGAACAUCGGACUUGCUUAGCAGAUUAGGCCAUUUAAUCCAAAGGCGCAUGUCACGGUCAUUAGAGUUGGUAUCCACAUCUGAUAAGUGUUUAAUUUCUUGUUAGGAAUCAUCUCUUUCCACUGUUCUUACUCUGUUCCUUUUGUUUUGUUUACUUCCCCUUCUUGAGUCUAUUUGAUUAGAACAAGUGAGAAAUGACUUCAAAAUUUGGUACCAACUUUCCAAUUGUACAAAACGAAAUUUGGCUAGCACAUCAAAGUGGCAUAAGUCAGGAAAGAACAACAUGCGCACUGAGUUGUUAACAAUCAACAUGCUUUGGGAUUCAUGUGAAAUACAAAGAUUUAGUAUAUAUCAAUUCAUGAACAAUGCAACAGAUAGAGAAAUUGGUUAGUCAAUAAGCAAGCAAUGUCUUUCAAGAUGAAAUCAAAGUUAUCAUGGAAAGUGAAGGAGCAAUCGCCGCAAAGUCAAGGCUACAAACCAACCACCAUGUUUAAACUCACAAGUUUUCCUUGUCUGAAAUAGGGACUGAAGGUAUGUUCAUAUCAAAGCUUGGAAGGUUGAAAUUUUCAGGUGUAAUGCCCCAAUUCUGCUUAUGCAAAGACUAUUGAGAAGAUCACACAUCACCACUAGGAAAAGCAUUUCCUAGUCUGGGUUUUCAAGUUAUAUUUUGUUGUAGGAGAUACACUUCUUAAAUUGAGAUUUUACCCUUAGGAGACGCACUUUCUAGUUUGGAUCAUAUGAGUUUUAGUUACUAAAGUUUUUACCCCUAGGAGACGCACUUCCUAGUAGGGAUCUUUCAGAUUAUACUUGUUAGAAGACGCACUUCUUAGCUUUGGUCAUUUAAAUUCAUUCAUAGGAGACACACUUCCUAGUUUGAGCCAUUGAAGUUUCACUCCUAGGAGACGCACUUCCUAGUCUGGGUCUGUCAAGUUAUAUUUUUGUGUUAGGAGACACACUUCCUAAAUUGAGAUUUCACCCCUAGAAGACGCACUUCCUAGCUUGCGCCAUUGAAGUUUCACCCAUAGGAGACACACUUCUUAGUCUGGGUCUUUCAAGAUACACUUUCAAGAGACGCACUUCCUAAAUUGAUAUUUUACCACUAGGAGAUGCAUUUCUUAAAUUGAGUUUUACCCAUAGGAGGCGCACUUCCUAAAUUGAGAGUUCAUUCAUAGGAGACGCAUUUCCUAGUUUGAGUCAGUUAAGUUCUACUCGUUGGGAGACGCACUUCCUAGUCAGAGCCUUUCGAGUUAUAUUUUGUUGUAGGAGACACACUUCCUAAAUUGAGAUUUCACCCCUAGGAGACGCACUUCCUGGGUUUGGUUCAUAUAAGUUUUACCUGUAGGAGACACACUUCCUAGUUUGGUUCAUUCAGGUUUUAUUUUUAGCAGACGCAUUUUUGCUAGUCAAAGUUUUUGGUUUUAAUCAUAGGAGACGCACUUCCUGGUCUAAUCAUUAGUUUGCUCUCAUCAUUGAAUCAAUAGUAUAAGUGGUAUAUACUAUUGCUAACAACUCACAAAUCUUCCUAGUGCAAACUGAGGCAGAAAAUUUUGUUUGUUUUGAUGAAAUCAGGCACCCACCUGGAGAACAAAGGGAGGACGACACAAGUUCAAAGGAAAGAGAAUCAAGUUCGGCAAUCAGGCACCCCACCUGGAGAGCAAUGGAAGAUAGUUCAAAGGAAAAGCAAUCUCAAGAGGAAGUAGUUCAAGUUCAGCAAUCAGGAGCUCACCUGGAGAACAAAUGGAAAACAAUUCAAGUUUCAAGAACAAGCAGUGCAAGUGUUGGUAAUCAGGAGCCCACCUGGAGAACGAAGGGAAGCAGCAAUGUCCAAAGGAAGACAACAAUCAGGAGCCCACCUGGAGAAUGAAGGGAAGCAGCAAUGUCCAAAGGAAGACAACAAUCAGAAGCCCACCUGAAGAAUGAAGGGAAGCAACAAUGUUCAAAGGAAGACAACAAUCAGGAUCCCACCUGGAGGAUGAAGGGAAGCAGUGAGGUUCAAAGGAGUUCAGCAAUCAGGAGCCCACCUGAAGAACAAAGGGAAGCAAUUCAAGUUUCGAGGAAAAGCAGAGCAAGUGUUGGUAAUCAGGAGCCCACCUAGAGAACGAAGGGAAGCAGCAAUGUUCAAAGGAAGAUAGCAAUCAGGAGCCCGCCUGGAGAACAAAGGGAAGCAACAAGGUUCAAAGGAAGUUCGGCAAUCAGGAGCCCACCUGGAAAACAAAGGGGGAACAAGGCAAGUUUCGGAGGAAAGGAAGAUAAUUCAAAUGCCUGAAAUCACGAGCCCACCCGGAGAACAAAGGAAAGUAAAUAGUAGUCAAAGGAAGACGGUUCAAGUUCAAUAAUAAGGCGCCUACCUGGAGAAUAAGAGAAUUCAAUUCAGAAUACAAUUCAAGUUAGCAACAAAAGUAGCUCGCGGCAAGAAUGCGAGUCAACAGUCCGAGGUGAUCAACAGAAGUUAGUCACAAUAAAGAAAAAAAGAGAAAGGCAAGAAGUAAAUCCAAAUGCAGAAGUUGAUGAAAGAUGUGGGCUGCACAAGACAUGGCCGAGGUCACAAACACUGCAUGCCUGGUCUUGAUCCAAAAAGAUGAAGAAGGAUGAACUAGAACCUGCAACUAGCAAGCGUCAAGGUUCAAAUCUAAGGUCUGCAUGAAGAACCACUCAAGACUCAAGAUCAAGCUUCAGAAGAUUUAUAGAUAAAAAUCUUGUAACUCGUAAUUGAUAGGCUUAGCUAAUCUUUUUCAUGUUUUGAUUUUUGAUGUAACAUCAGGACCGCGGACCGGAACCUCGGCGGAACGAUACCUCGACUAGCUCUCCACCUUGGUAUACUCCAUCAUCACUCACUUCUGAACUACACGUGGAAUGAUUCCUUUAUAGCCAAGGAUAUGUAGGCAACUCAGAUACUAGGGCUCGACCACAUUCUCCUUUUCUCUUAGUUUUGGUCUCCUUAAAUAAGGGUCAGGUCAAAAAACCUGUCUAGUCGUUCUUUGUCCGAAAACUCUUCGCAUUUCCAGUCAAAGAGGAGCAACUGUAGAUAUGUAAUUUUUGACCCUCCCCAAGAGUUUUCAUAUUUUAGUACUUAAAUAUUUAAUUUAGGCCUAAUAUUGUUAUUUUAAUUGAUUUUGACUCUUUUUCUUUAUUUUAUUACAAGAAAAUUAAAAUUACAAAAACAAAUAGUUUUAUUAAUAUUUCGUAGUCAUUUUAAUCCUGAAAAAUACCAAAAAUAAUUUAUUUUAAUGUUCAAUCUUAUUUUAAUAAGUUAUUAGGACUAAUUAAUAAAUGAGAUCGUAUUUUAAUCUCGUUUGCGAGGAAAGAAUAAAACUUUGGCUCGAGCAACCCAUUUUAGGCCUAAUUUUGGACUUAACCCAUAAUUCCCAAGCCCAUAAUUCCUAGGCCCAUACCCACCUAAUCCCUACCCCUAUAUAAUAGUACCUAAUCCCUAUAUAGACGGGGACCUAAAAAUUGGAAUCCGCCGUUUUCCUUCAGCAAAAAAUACAAAAAAUGAACGCCCAAAAAAGACCCUAAGGCUGACAAAAAGCUGCGCCGAAUUUUCAGUAAAAAACCAGGAAAAAACCCCUCUGGUCAUAGUCCCCUUCAUGCUUGAGCUUAGGCAGCCAUAAAUGACUAGGACCUUCCCCUAAACUUCAUCCUCUUAGAGACCCCAAACCCGUCGAUCAACCCCUGCUCCUCCACCUCAACCAGACCAACAGUCCAAACCUGCACAAAAUCUGGCAAACCAGUGUUUUACAGUGUGUUUUUACAGUGUGUUAUAGUGUGUUUUACAGUGUGUUUUUGAAUCAGUCGAGGAUGGUUCCAGUUGAGUUCGGCGAGGUGCGACGUUUGGAUUUGUCGAGGUCUUGUUCUCCGGUCUUUGUUUGAGUUCGAAUCGACAGAAAACAGGGAAAGAAAACAUUGCCAUAUUAAGGUCCAUUUUCUUUCAUUUUUGGCUCAUGCUUUUAGGUAGUUUGAAGUGUUGUUAGUGUUAAUUUUCAUCAGACAUGUAUGUGUGUUUGAACUUCACGUGCUCAAAUGAUAACAGGAAGAGGUUAACCUUCCUAAAGUUAUUUUGAAUCUGGAACAAACAGUGAUUAAACCUUGACAUGUUCUUUGGCUUAUGUGCUUAUGUUAAUUGUAGAACAUUCUCAUUGUUUAGACUCAUGCUAUUCAUUCCAAAUAUAUUAAAUCUUAAGUUGGG
This 6436-nucleotide long non-coding RNA is filed under the name Nicotiana tabacum (common tobacco). Its description in RNAcentral is "long non-coding RNA (NTAB_LNC007381)". Lineage: Eukaryota; Viridiplantae; Streptophyta; Magnoliopsida; Solanales; Solanaceae. The record is from RNAcentral.